This 480-nucleotide ribosomal RNA is filed under the name Fusarium oxysporum. RNAcentral describes it as "eukaryotic LSU rRNA". The stretch from base 150 to 303 matches the Rfam family "5.8S ribosomal RNA". Lineage: Eukaryota; Fungi; Ascomycota; Sordariomycetes; Hypocreales; Nectriaceae. The record is from RNAcentral.
CCGAGUUUACAACUCCCAAACCCCUGUGAACAUACCUAUACGUUGCCUCGGCGGAUCAGCCCGCGCCCCGUAAAACGGGACGGCCCGCCCGAGGACCCCUAAACUCUGUUUUUAGUGGAACUUCUGAGUAAAACAAACAAAUAAAUCAAAACUUUCAACAACGGAUCUCUUGGUUCUGGCAUCGAUGAAGAACGCAGCAAAAUGCGAUAAGUAAUGUGAAUUGCAGAAUUCAGUGAAUCAUCGAAUCUUUGAACGCACAUUGCGCCCGCCAGUAUUCUGGCGGGCAUGCCUGUUCGAGCGUCAUUUCAACCCUCAAGCUCAGCUUGGUGUUGGGACUCGCGGUAACCCGCGUUCCCCAAAUCGAUUGGCGGUCACGUCGAGCUUCCAUAGCGUAGUAAUCAUACACCUCGUUACUGGUAAUCGUCGCGGCCACGCCGUUAAACCCCAACUUCUGAUGUUGGACCUCNGAUCAGGUAGGAA